AACCUGCUUUUUAGGGGCUGGCUGGCACAAGACUCUUUCAUUCUACACUAUCUCCUUUCGCAGAAAGACAAAAUUAAGAUCUUUGUUUAUUGAAGUUUCGCAAAAUAGUCUGCUUUCAAACUGAACGAUGGAGCCGGUGAAGGAAGAUGAAGAAGUUUACAGCUGGAGAGAGAUGGAGUUACCAGCUUUAAAACCAGAGCUAGAGAGGGAGACGGGCGAGAGAAGGAGAGGUAGAGACGUAUUGAUAGCCAUUGAUCAUGGUCCCAACAGUAGGCAUGCUUUUGAUUGGGCCCUGAUUCACUUCUGCAGGCUUGCUGACACCAUCCAUCUUGUUCAUGCGGUGACGAAUAUGAAUAACGAGAUUGUUUAUGACGCCAGCAAGGAGCUCAUGCAGAGGCUUGCUCUGGAGGCUGCUGAAGUUGCUAUGGUGAUGACCAAGGCUCGGAUUGUGCAAGGUGAUGCAGGUAAGGUUAUUUGCAAGGAAGCUGAAAGGUUAAAGCCAGCAGCAGUUGUUAUGGGUACCCGAGGCAGAAGCUUGAUGCAAAGUGUACUGCAGGGAAGUGUGAGUGAGUAUUGCUUCCACAAUUGUAAAACUGCUCCUGUCAUAAUUGUUCCUGGAAAAGAAGCUGGUGACGAAUCAUUGAUAUGAUGGAACUAGUAACUUGUGAAAAAUUCUAGGUUGCAUGCAUCCUGAUAAUCUCUAUGCCACCUUAGCUACUAUCAACAUGCAUCAUCUCCAGCUCUCUUGUUUCUAAAGCUGCAAUGGACCCAAGAAAGAGAAAAGGCAAUAUCAUGUUUCACUAUCCACAGAAAACAAAGAGAAUCAAAGAGAUCUUGCCUGUGGAUGAGGCCAGGUCCACCUCUCUUAGUGUUACUUCUGGCUUGAAAACGAAGAAAGAUGAGGCUAUUGUGACUCCAAACAGAAGAAUAUCCAAUGUAAUUAGUAGGCAUACAUUUCUUGGUCCCCCACUCGCCGCAACCAACAUCCAAAUGCUCAUUAUUAUACUGGAGAUUAUUGGCAUGAGGCAAGUCUGAAAAAAUUAUUGCAGAAUAACUUUUCAUCCUUGAAAGUCAAUAAACCAUUCCAAUGCUUGAAGAUUUUCAUCUGACAUUACUCACUAGGAAGCUCUUUACAAAUAAUGCGAAUCUAUGUCUAUUUGUUUAUGCUCUCAACAUUUUCCUGCUCCAUGAUACACAUUGAUGAACAUCUUCAAAAUAUAAGUUCAUAUGUCGAACAUACUUGUUCGGUCUUUUGCAGCUA
This is an RNA transcript of Mangifera indica (mango), 1261 nucleotides long. RefSeq lists it as uncharacterized. The record is from RefSeq and is a predicted model, not a curated record. NCBI's taxonomy places the organism in Eukaryota, Viridiplantae, Streptophyta, Magnoliopsida, Sapindales, Anacardiaceae. The transcript has 7 exons.